UACGGAGGGCGCGAGCGUUGUCCGGAAUCACUGGGCGUAAAGGGCGCGUAGGCGGCCCUGGUAAGUCUGCGGUGAAAGCCCGGGGCUCAACCCCGGGUCGGCCGCGGGUACUGCCGGGCUGGAGUGCCGUAGGGGCAGGCGGAAUUCCGGGUGUAGCGGUGGAAUGCGUAGAGAUCCGGAAGAACACCGGUGGCGAAGGCGGCCUGCUGGGCGGCGACUGACGCUGAGGCGCGACAGCGUGGGGAGCGAAUGGG
RNAcentral lists this ribosomal RNA (254 nucleotides) under uncultured bacterium. RNAcentral describes it as "partial 16S ribosomal RNA". It matches the Rfam family "Bacterial small subunit ribosomal RNA", at positions 524 to 776 of the family's 1533-position model. The record is from RNAcentral.